CUGCUUUUCCAGCCCUGUACUCUUCUCCCCCUGGGAACCCAGUGGGCAGUGGCUGCAGACAGCAGCCUCCUCGGUAGUGUAUGCAGCCUCUUGUCUGUACAGGUUGCCCUAAGGGACCUUGGAGACAGCC
This is a small nucleolar RNA of Capra hircus (goat), 130 nucleotides long. Its record names the gene SNORA70. It matches the Rfam family "Small nucleolar RNA SNORA70". Rfam says of the family: snoRNA U70 seems to be exclusive to mammals and is a member of the H/ACA class of snoRNA which contain H (ANANNA) and ACA box motifs. H/ACA box snoRNAs are involved in the conversion of uridines to pseudouridines (5-ribosyluracil) a constituent of structural RNAs (transfer, ribosomal, small nuclear, and small nucleolar). The record is from Ensembl. Lineage: Eukaryota; Metazoa; Chordata; Mammalia; Artiodactyla; Bovidae.